Molecule: ribosomal RNA, 468 nt
Filed under: uncultured bacterium
Lineage: Bacteria
Description: partial 16S ribosomal RNA
Rfam family: Bacterial small subunit ribosomal RNA
Source: RNAcentral
GACGAACGCUGGCGGCGUGCUUAACACAUGCAAGUCGAACGGAAAGGCCCUGCUUUUGUGGGGUGCUCGAGUGGCGAACGGGUGAGUAACACGUGAGUAACCUGCCCUUGACUUUGGGAUAACUUCAGGAAACUGGGGCUAAUACCGGAUAGGAGCUCCUGCUGAAUGGUGGGGGUUGGAAAGUUUCGGCGGUUGGGGAUGGACUCGCGGCUUAUCAGCUCGUUGGGGGGGUAGUGGCUUACCAAGGCUUUGACGGGUAGCCGGCCUGAGAGGGUGACCGGCCACAUUGGGACUGAGAUACGGCCCAGACUCCUACGGGAGGCAGCAGUGGGGAAUAUUGCACAAUGGGCGGAAGCCUGAUGCAGCAACGCCGCGUGCGGGAUGACGGCCUUCGGGUUGUAAACCGCUUUCGCCUGUGACGAAGCGUGAGUGACGGUAAUGGGUAAAGAAGCACCGGCUAACUACGUG